UCUAACGUGGCAGAUAAGUGCAUUGGAUUUAAGCUCCACACAUAAAGCCUCAUAAACUUUCAUUAGAA
RNAcentral lists this transfer RNA (68 nucleotides) under Stylotermes sp. Chi-131. RNAcentral's name for it is "tRNA-Leu". Lineage: Eukaryota; Metazoa; Arthropoda; Insecta; Blattodea; Stylotermitidae. The record is from RNAcentral.